Molecule: ribosomal RNA, 493 nt
Filed under: uncultured bacterium
Lineage: Bacteria
Description: bacterial SSU rRNA
Rfam family: Bacterial small subunit ribosomal RNA
Source: RNAcentral
GAUGAACGCUAGCUACAGGCUUAACACAUGCAAGUCGAGGGGAAACGACAUCGGAAGCUUGCUUUUGAUGGGCGUCGACCGGCGCACGGGUGAGUAACGCGUAUCCAACCUGCCCACCACUUGGGGAUAACCUUGCGAAAGUAAGACUAAUACCCAAUGAUAUCUCUAGAAGACAUCUGAAAGGGAUUAAAGAUUUAUCGGUGAUGGAUGGGGAUGCGUCUGAUUAGCUUGUUGGCGGGGUAACGGCCCACCAAGGCAACGAUCAGUAGGGGUUCUGAGAGGAAGGUCCCCCCACAUUGGAACUGAGACACGGUCCAAACUCCUACGGGAGGCAGCAGUGAGGAAUAUUGGUCAAUGGGCGAGAGCCUGAACCAGCCAAGUAGCGUGCAGGAUGACGGCCCUAUGGGUUGUAAACUGCUUUUAUAAGGGAAUAAAGUUAGUCUCGCGAGACUUUUUGCAUGUACCUUAUGAAUAAGGACCGGCUAAUUCCGUG